This 526-nucleotide long non-coding RNA is filed under the name Pan troglodytes (chimpanzee). Its description in RNAcentral is "lincRNA". The stretch from base 110 to 193 matches the Rfam family "mir-22 microRNA precursor family". The record is from RNAcentral. Lineage: Eukaryota; Metazoa; Chordata; Mammalia; Primates; Hominidae.
GAAGAGACAGCGCCGCCGGCCGUGGGGAGCGGACGCAGUGAUUUGCUCCCCCUCGUGCAGCAACCCCCACACCCAGCACCAGGAGCCUGUUCCUCUCACGCCCUCACCUGGCUGAGCCGCAGUAGUUCUUCAGUGGCAAGCUUUAUGUCCUGACCCAGCUAAAGCUGCCAGUUGAAGAACUGUUGCCCUCUGCCCCUGGCUUCGAGGAGGAGGAGGAGCUGCUUUCCCCAUCAUCUGGAAGGUGACAGAAAUGGGCUGGGAAGGUCCGGACAGCAGGGUGGAUGAUAACAUUUUGGGCAAGUUGGAGAGCCUUUGCCCAGAUUGGCCCGGCAAGGAGCGGUUUUAGAUUAGAGACACUGGCUGGAUUGAGGAGUAGAAGGCUCAAACAACCCAAGGCUUUCUGCCUCCGAGAUGUGGCACCAUAGUGCGGUGCCCUGUGGCUUCACCGCCCUACUUCCACCUCCGCCCAGCCUGUAAUGUUUAUAUAAGCAGCCUCAAGGACCAAGAACCAUCUGCGAAAGGACAC